AUGAACCAAACGUCGAGUUAAGGGGCCUAAAUGAAUGCUCAUUCAGAUCCCAUCGAAAGGUGUUGGUUGCUAUAGACAGCAGGACGGUGGCCAUGGAAGUUGGAAUCCGCUAAGGAGUGUGUAACAACUCACCUGCCGAAGCAACUAGCCCUUAAAAUGGUAUGGCGCUCAAGCAUUCUCCCGAUACUCGACCGCCGGGGCACUACCGGUCCGCUUCUUCCGCCGCCACCUAUUCGGCGGCGGCGGUGGGUUACGGCGGGUCUCGAAGCCCCGGUGAGUAGGAGGGUCGCGGUGGUGUGCGCUGAAGGGUUCGGCGUGAGCCGGCCUGGAGCCUCCACUGGUGCAGAUCUUGGUGGUAGUAGCAAAUAGUCGAGAGAGAGUCCCUUGAAGGCCGAAGUGGAGAAGGGUUCCA
RNAcentral lists this ribosomal RNA (412 nucleotides) under Jasus edwardsii (red rock lobster). Its description in RNAcentral is "eukaryotic LSU rRNA". It matches the Rfam family "Eukaryotic large subunit ribosomal RNA", at positions 1163 to 1511 of the family's 3401-position model. Lineage: Eukaryota; Metazoa; Arthropoda; Malacostraca; Decapoda; Palinuridae. The record is from RNAcentral.